CAUAGCUUACUACACUUAGUUAACCAAGUAAAUAAAUAAUAUAUUAAGGAUAUGUUGUAUGUUGCUUUUGUAUAACCCUCACGUUAUAGCCUCCACCCAGACAGUUUGAAACGGGUGCUAGACAUUAGACAACCAAGACAAUCCGUUGGAAAAACCUAGGCCUAUUUAUAGCUAUUUCGAGUUGAUUGCCCAAAGUGUCGCUUCGAUUGGUCUGAGGUGUUUUAGCCCCAAGGGCUUUGUCCCCACUAGUCUAGCCUAAUGCCCAGAGAGUUCAGUACUAGUUCUGUUCCGUGUAUGGAUUGUUUCUGUGCAUCCAUUUCGAUGACCCUCAGCUCGGAGUGGAAAAAGUAAUGGAGGGUAACUGGCACUCCCUUCAUAUAGGGUCAUGGCUAGAAGGGUUUCAGCUUUUGACUUUUCGUAGCAGGCUAGGAUAACUUGUGCAGCAUGUUAGGAGAAUUAACAUAGCAGGUUAGGAGAAUUAGGUUAAGGUUAGAAAAAGGGUUAGAGUUAGCAAAAAUGCAAAAAACAAUCUACUUUGUAUGUUAAUUUGACAAAAGCUGGGUCCCUUCUAGCCAUGACCCUAAUAUAGCCUAUCUCUCCAGGGUUUUUAUAUCAGUAUAUCUGGUGUAGAGGUUAUGGUGACCCCUUCACUUGUUAAUACGUUUACAAAAAGGCACUCAGGCUUUUUCAAGGACUCAUUUUAGGCAUAACAUCCGCUCGUACAGUCAGUUGCUGAUGUGUUAAUAACCAUGUAAUUUCAGAUUAUAGUUUUAUUUAGGUUUUAUUUCUCUCCUAACUUGAGAGAAGAAACAAACCACAUUUACCUUUCCUUUGAACUGGGCAUGGUGAUGGAUUUUUUAUAGACCUAAAUGUUAUUUUAGACCUGUUAGAUUGGACCUCAUUGGACCUCCAUGUGCAGCCAAAAUCACUAUCUGUCAUCAUGGCAGACUAGGACAAAUCAAUUGUCUCCUUUGUUGAAAA
Coregonus clupeaformis (lake whitefish) is the source of this 981-nucleotide long non-coding RNA. RefSeq lists it as uncharacterized. The transcript is spliced from 2 exons. The record is from RefSeq and is a predicted model, not a curated record. Lineage: Eukaryota; Metazoa; Chordata; Actinopteri; Salmoniformes; Salmonidae.